GCACUGCUGAGGAGUCCCACACUAGGACGAAACGGCUUUCCAGUGC
Molecule: non-coding RNA, 46 nt
Organism: Schistosoma curassoni
Lineage: Eukaryota; Metazoa; Platyhelminthes; Trematoda; Strigeidida; Schistosomatidae
Source: Rfam